RNAcentral lists this long non-coding RNA (507 nucleotides) under Bos mutus (wild yak). RNAcentral's name for it is "lncRNA (ENSBMUG00000005594.1)". The record is from RNAcentral. Lineage: Eukaryota; Metazoa; Chordata; Mammalia; Artiodactyla; Bovidae.
AAUGAAUGCCUUUCUUUUAAAAUAAAAUGCAUAUGUGUUUAUUAUUUUUAGAGUUAUUUCAGUUCAUGAGAAACUAUCUAAUCUUACGCAAAUUGCUGAAAUAUCAUUGCCAACAACUCCUAAAGUUACUUCAAAUGAAAAUUUACAUGAAGUAGAGGAAACAGAAGAGAAAUCAAUUGAUGCAGAAAUGGAAAACAUGAUUAUUGUCUGUUGCAAUGAAAUAGUAUCUUUGUUUUUGGGUGAUGAAAUGGCAACUCCACUAUCUGAGGUCCCAUUUGAUGUCUCGCUGCCAUCUAUAUUCAGUCUGGAGAGACUUUUUGAUCUUGCUAGUGGCUGUAUCAUAUCGGGAGGAAGCCUUUUCAACUGGGUGGUGUCAAUUAUUCCCUGAACAUCCUUUGUAUGUUAGCCUUAUAAAGGGAUUGUUAUUUCUUCACUUGGUUUGUAAUAAACUUUCAGAGCUAUCCUCUUAUACUAAGCAAAAUAAAAUUGCUUUUUUUUAUACAAGCU